CAGAAGAUUUCCAACGUCCCAUGUUCUUAAUGAUAUGUGUUGGUACGUGAUUACCAGAAGCUGCUGUGGCCGCCCCAAUAAGGAAUGAAUGGCCAGAGAAUGAAUGCAGGUUUUGUCCCAGUUUGAGUAACAAUGUGCGUAUGUAUAGCAUGAACUGUUUGGUGGUUAGGGGUUUCCUUUGAAUGGCUAUUAGUGGGGAUUCAGGGUUAGUUGUAAGCUG
Pelobates cultripes (western spadefoot toad) is the source of this 220-nucleotide non-coding RNA. NCBI's taxonomy places the organism in Eukaryota, Metazoa, Chordata, Amphibia, Anura, Pelobatidae. The record is from the annotation of a GenBank genome assembly.